CCCUUAGAUGUCCUGGGCCGCACGCGCGCUACACUGAGUGUCUGAGAUACGAGUCUGCCUGGUCCGGCAAGGUCUAGGUAAUCGCUAAAAGACACAUCAUGCUUGGGAUAGAUUAUUGCAAAUAUUAAUCUUGAACGAGGAAUUCCUAGUAAGCGCAAGUCAACAGCUUGCGUUGAUUACGUCCCUGCCCUUUGUACACACCGCCCGUCGCUGCUACUGAUUGGAUGUUUAAGCGAGGUUCUCGAACUGCUAGCGACUUAGCUUCGGUGAGGUCGCAGUGUGGGAAGUGAACCUAGCUUUGGUGUCUAGAGGAAGUAAAAGUCGUAACA
Molecule: ribosomal RNA, 329 nt
Filed under: uncultured eukaryote
Lineage: Eukaryota
Description: partial 18S ribosomal RNA
Rfam family: Eukaryotic small subunit ribosomal RNA
Source: RNAcentral